This is a long non-coding RNA of Gadus macrocephalus (Pacific cod), 1804 nucleotides long. RefSeq lists it as uncharacterized. The transcript is spliced from 2 exons. Lineage: Eukaryota; Metazoa; Chordata; Actinopteri; Gadiformes; Gadidae. The record is from RefSeq and is a predicted model, not a curated record.
UUCAUUAGUUUGUAUAUUUACGGAUGAAUAUGUAUUUAUUAUACCUGUUUAUAUCAAUAGCAAUGAAUACAAGAUGAAAUACUGCUCUUAUACUUCCAACAGUAUCCAACAGUAGCCUGCUACUUUAACCAGGCCCAUAAUAAGUGCUUUAAAAACAACAAUAAUAUUUACCACAACAAUACAUUGCUAAUAAUGAUUGGCAAUUGUUAUUUUUCUCUCUCUGUUUUAUAAUUAGGCCUAUGCAAAUGUACAGUAUCUGUCUGUUAAAUUCAUUAAUUCUUCAUUGAUGUUAACCUGCUAGGUAAAAUAAAACACAUUCUGCUUUACGUCACUUACAUAUGGAUCUGGCGUGCCCGUCCCAAAAUAAUAUCCGAGGGUUUUGUCAAGGCUUGGUAAAUGUAUCAUCUUAAGAGGCUUUGUGGGACACCUACGCAUACACACACACACACACACACACACACACACACACACACACACACACACACACACACACACACACACACACACACACACACACACACACACACCGCUGGCACGGACACACCCGCUCACUAGAUUUGAAUAUUGAUUUAGAUUUAUAAACACAGGCACACACCCUGGGUUCUAUGAGUCGUCAUUUGCCUCUCUCUGUCCCGGUGGAAGGCCGGUGUCAAAGGUGGAGGCUGGUCGUAGCUGCUUUAUGAAGUAGCAUCACACGUCUUGCUGCAGUGAGGAAUGAGUUGAUAUGGGAAGGCAACGCUUUUGGCUCCAACAGUAACAAUGCAGCGUCGUGUAUCUCUGGACAGAUUCUGAUCCCAAGAAGAAUCUGUGGAUUAUGACCGAUGGAUUAAUAGGCACGAGACAAAGACCCCUCCGCAUCUCGUCAGAUGUCAAGUUCUAUAUGUGUAUUUGUGUGUGUGUGUGUGUGUGUGUGUGUGUGUGUGUUUGUGUGUGUGUGAUGGUCGUGCUCGCAGCGACGGUUUGAUGGAAUGGAGCCGAGGUGGAGGAGUCGAGGUUGAGUAGUCUAGGUGGAGGAGCCGAGGUGGAGGAGCCGAGGUGGAGGAGCUGAGGUGGAGGAGCCGAGGUGGAGGAGCCGAGGUGGAGGAGUCGAGGUGGAGGAGUCGAGGUGGAGGAGCCGAGGUGGAGGAGCCGAGGUGGAGGAGCCGAGGUGGAGGAGCCGAGGUGGAGGAGCCGAGGUGGAGGAGCCGAGGUGGAGGAGCCGAGGUGGAGGAGUCGAGGUGGAGGAGCUGAGGUGGAGGAGCUGAGGUGGAGCAUCACAGGUGUACCUUCAGGAGUUCGUCACCGAGCAAACAGCCCGCCGCCCCGCGCUGGAACCAACAACCACAAGACUUAUGGAAAACACAAGGACACAUAUAAGUCACGGGGAGACCUGUGUGUGUGUGUGUGUGUGUGUGUGUGUGAGAGAGAGUGUGUGUGUCCUUGUGUUUAUGUCUGUGUGCUUUAAGAAUAGCUUGGAUUCAAUUUGGCAUUUAAAAGAGGUUACUUCAGCAAAAUUGAUCAACGUGCUAUUGCUCCUCUAAAAAUCAACAACAUGGCCAUGUUGUAUUUCUUUCACCGUUCUAUUUUUUUGAAAUCUAAUUUCUUUGUGGAUUUAUGAUUCUAGUUUUAUUUCCUUUCUGUAAAGCUGAUAAGAUGUGUUGUGAUUUUUUUUACUGCGUUGAUUUGUAGAAUUAACAUCUUGGCCUCCUCAGCAUCACCCUUUCUAAACUCGCCCCAACAGUCCGUCUCUCUGAAUCCAGUUGAGCAAUUUGUUGUACGUCUAAUGUUUACAUGAUUGUCCAUAAUAUAUCUGUUUUCUAUUUUG